This 253-nucleotide ribosomal RNA is filed under the name uncultured bacterium. RNAcentral's name for it is "partial 16S ribosomal RNA". It matches the Rfam family "Bacterial small subunit ribosomal RNA", at positions 524 to 776 of the family's 1533-position model. The record is from RNAcentral.
UACGUAGGUGACAAGCGUUGUCCGGAUUUACUGGGCGUAAAGAGCGCGCAGGCGGUCGUUCAAGUCGAGUGUGAAAGCCCCCGGCUCAACUGGGGAGGGUCAUUCGAUACUGAUCGACUCGAAGGCAGGAGAGAGUAGUGGAAUUCCCGGUGUAGUGGUGAAAUGCGUAGAUAUCGGGAGGAACACCAGUGGCGAAGGCGACUACCUGGCCUGUUCUUGACGCUGAGGCGCGAAAGCUAGGGGAGCAAACGGG